This 254-nucleotide ribosomal RNA is filed under the name uncultured bacterium. Its description in RNAcentral is "partial 16S ribosomal RNA". It matches the Rfam family "Bacterial small subunit ribosomal RNA", at positions 524 to 776 of the family's 1533-position model. The record is from RNAcentral.
CACGUAGGGGGCAAGCGUUGUCCGGAUUUAUUGGGCGUAAAGAGCUCGUAGGCGGCUCAGUAAGUCAGGUGUGAAAACUCCAGGCUCAACCUGGAGACGCCAUCUGAUACUGCUGUGGCUAGAGUCCGGUAGGGGAGCAUGGAAUUCCUGGUGUAGCGGUGAAAUGCGCAGAUAUCAGGAGGAACACCAGUGGCGAAGGCGGUGCUCUGGGCCGGAACUGACGCUGAGGAGCGAAAGCGUGGGGAGCAAACAGG